AGUAUUUGAUAAACGAUUAUUAAAGAGGGAUGGAGUGUCAUGUGAGAGGUACAGGAAAAGCAUAUUAAAAACAAAAAGAAUUGUACAUCAUGAUGCUGAGUUGAUGAUUAAUUUGGCAAAAAAUGUUCAGUAGGAUGAAAAAAGAGUUUUCUGGAAAGAAAUAAAGUACGGUAGCACCAUUUGGUUGUGAAGAACACAUUGAAACAAAAGAUAUUGAAAUUUUGUGUUUUCACAAUUUUUAUUAUUUAUUUAGUAGCCUCCUCUGUAUAACUACCGCAGAAACAGACUGAACACACCACAGAGGGACAAACUCCGCUAAAGUUCUGGGGCUAUGCUUCAGUACAUAUACAUACCAAAUUAAAUGUUAAUUUUCUUUCAUGAAUUGUUUAUUAACAUUAUGUCGAAAAAGAUGGUGUAGUAAGAGGUAGUAUAGGAACCUUAUGGUAAGCAACUGUGGAAGGUGUGUCAUUGGUUUCAUUCCCACAGAAUGAGACUAAAUCUAUAAUUGCUAUUGAAUAGAAAGACAUUUUCAUAUAUUUUUCUUUUUCUUUUUCAUACUAUUUUGGUUUGACUUCUAAUUGUGAUUUUUUCAAAUUUUCAGGAUGAUUCUUAAUACAACUAUGAUCAGCUAGAUGAUGAAAGUUGUCCUUAUGAAAAUCUUGUCACCCUGCCCACUCCUGAGGACAUUUCAAGGGAUGUCCAAGAGCAAGAAAUAAAGCGUGAAGAAUUGCACAAACAGGUGGCAAGGAUACAAAAAUGAUUGAGAUUGGGUUGAACCUUACAAGAGAGGCAGUGGUCCCGUAUCGCGGAAAACGGGGCGUUGUGUAGCGGGCGCCCUGUUCUGGCAGACUGACCUAAAAGCUCACUGACUCGGU
Portunus trituberculatus (swimming crab) is the source of this 875-nucleotide long non-coding RNA. RefSeq lists it as uncharacterized. The record is from RefSeq and is a predicted model, not a curated record. The transcript is spliced from 3 exons. Lineage: Eukaryota; Metazoa; Arthropoda; Malacostraca; Decapoda; Portunidae.